Molecule: ribosomal RNA, 497 nt
Filed under: uncultured bacterium
Lineage: Bacteria
Description: partial 16S ribosomal RNA
Rfam family: Bacterial small subunit ribosomal RNA
Source: RNAcentral
GAUGAACGCUGGCGGCGUGCCUAAUACAUGCAAGUCGAGCGAACGGACGAGAAGCUUGCUUCUCUGAUGUUAGCGGCGGACGUGUGAGUAACACGUGGAUAACCUACCUAUAAGACUGGGAUAACUUCGGGAAACCGUAGCUAAUACCGGAUAAUAUUUUGAACCGCAUGGUUCAAAGGUGAAAGACGGUCUUGCUGUCUCUUAUAGAUGGAUCCGCGCUGCAUUAGCUAGUUGGUAAGGUAACGGCUUACCAAGGCAACGAUGCAUAGCCGACCUGAGAGGAUGAUCGGCCACACUGGAACUGAGACACGGUCCAGACUCCUACGGGAGGCAGCAGGAGGGAAUCUUCCGCAAUGGGCGGAAGCCUGACGGAGCAACGCCGCGUGAGUGAUGAAGGUCUUCGGAUCGUAAAACUCUGUUAUUGGGGAAGAACAUAUGUGUAAGUAACUGUGCGCAUCUUGACGGUAACUAAUCAGAAAGCCACGGCUAACUACGGG